Molecule: ribosomal RNA, 471 nt
Filed under: uncultured organism
Description: bacterial SSU rRNA
Rfam family: Bacterial small subunit ribosomal RNA
Source: RNAcentral
GAUGAACGCUGGCGGCGUGCUUAACACAUGCAAGUCGAACGAAGCACUUCAUAAAGCUUGCUUUAAGAAGUGACUUAGUGGCGGACGGGUGAGUAACGCGUGGGUAACCUGCCUUACACAGGGGGAUAACAGUUAGAAAUGACUGCUAAUACCGCAUAAAACAGCAGAGUCGCAUGACUCAACUGUCAAAGAUUUAUCGGUGUAAGAUGGACCCGCGUCUGAUUAGCUUGUUGGUGGGGUAACGGCCUACCAAGGCGACGAUCAGUAGCCGGCCUGAGAGGGUGAACGGCCACAUUGGGACUGAGACACGGCCCAAACUCCUACGGGAGGCAGCAGUGGGGAAUAUUGGACAAUGGGCGAAAGCCUGAUCCAGCGACGCCGCGUGAGCGAUGAAGUAUUUCGGUAUGUAAAGCUCUAUCAGCAGGGAAGAAAACGACGGUACCUGACUAAGAAGCCCCGGCUAACUACGUG